Molecule: small nuclear RNA, 178 nt
Filed under: Echinops telfairi (small Madagascar hedgehog)
Lineage: Eukaryota; Metazoa; Chordata; Mammalia; Afrosoricida; Tenrecidae
Description: U1 spliceosomal RNA (ENSETEG00000022286.1)
Rfam family: U1 spliceosomal RNA
About the family: U1 is a small nuclear RNA (snRNA) component of the spliceosome (involved in pre-mRNA splicing). Its 5' end forms complementary base pairs with the 5' splice junction, thus defining the 5' donor site of an intron. There are significant differences in sequence and secondary structure between metazoan and yeast U1 snRNAs, the latter being much longer (568 nucleotides as compared to 164 nucleotides in human).
Source: RNAcentral
AUACUUACCUGGCAAGGGGAGAUACCAUGAUCACGAAGGUGGUUUUCCCAAGGGCGAGGCUCAUCCAAUUGCACUCCGGAAUGUGCUGACCCCUUGCCGAAUUCCCCAAAUGUGGGAAAACUCCGAACUGCAUAAAUUUAAGGUAAGUGGGGGGGCUGCCGUUCCGCGCCUCCUCUCC